GGGGAGUACGGUCGCCAAGAUUAAAACUCAAAGGAAUUGACGGGGACCCGCANCAANCGGUGGAUGAUGUGGAUUAAUUCGAUGCAACGCGAAAAACCUUACCUACCCUUGACAUGGUCGGAACCUGGCUGAAAGGNUGGGGUGCUCGAAAGAGAACCGAUACACAGGUGCUGCAUGGCUGUCGUCAGCUCGUGUCGUGAGAUGUUGGGUUAAGUCCCGCAACGAGCGCAACCCUUGUCCUUAGUUGCUACGCAAGAGCACUCUAAGGAGACUGCCGGUGACAAANCCGGAGGAAGGUGGGGAUGACGUCAAGUCCUCAUGGCCCUUAUGGGUAGGGCUUCACACGUCAUACAAUGGUCGGAACAGAGGGCUGCCAACUCCGUGAGGGGGAGCUAAUCCCAGAAAACCGAUCGUAGUCCGGAUCGUAGUCUGCAACUCGAGCUAGCGUGAAGUCUGGAACUCGCUAGUAAUCGCGGAUCAGCAUG
RNAcentral lists this ribosomal RNA (485 nucleotides) under Burkholderiaceae bacterium L458_RBt. RNAcentral describes it as "bacterial SSU rRNA". It matches the Rfam family "Bacterial small subunit ribosomal RNA", at positions 875 to 1356 of the family's 1533-position model. The record is from RNAcentral. Lineage: Bacteria; Pseudomonadati; Pseudomonadota; Betaproteobacteria; Burkholderiales; Burkholderiaceae.